Molecule: long non-coding RNA, 2091 nt
Filed under: Mytilus galloprovincialis (Mediterranean mussel)
Lineage: Eukaryota; Metazoa; Mollusca; Bivalvia; Mytilida; Mytilidae
Source: RNAcentral
UUAAAGGAUUCUUAAGUACACCGACUUUUUUUUGGUCGAAGAAAAACGUGAGUUUUGUAAUAUUAAAUAUGAGUAUGCAAUAUUUAAAAGAUAGCACGGUUCUCCCAAAAAUGAACAUACCAGGACCUAUCCUCCUCAAUGGGAUAAAAUCUAGAACAAAGGUUAAUCGUAAAAGCGCUUUUUUUUCAUAAAUUAGGCCGUUAGUUUUCUCGUUAAAUUGUGUUAAAUUGUUAUUUCGGGUGUUAUAGUCUCAGUUUCGGGGCACCUUUUAGCUUACUAUGCGGUAUGGGCUUUGCUCAUUGUUGAAGGCCGUACGAUGAUAUAUAGUUGUUAAUUUAUGUGUCAUUUGGUCUCUUGUGGAGAGUAAUCUCAUUGUCAAUCAUACCUCAUUUUUUUUUUAUAUUCAACACUCUGUUUGGUGACGAGAAACUUGCUGAAGUUGCUGUUUAAAACAAUUUCACCCUGUUUUUCAUUUAAUAUGUGUGCUACAAUAUUCUACAUCUGAUCCUAAGGUUAAAGUUGACACAAUUUGUCUCUUUAUGCUUGCAUGUUUUAUUACAUGUAUUGCACAUGUAUGUUCUGUCUUUUACAUAAAGAUAAUGUUUAGGAAAUAAAGUGAUCCACAGCAAUAGACAUUCCAGUUUGUCUGUCACCGGAAAAAACUUGUCAAUUAUGCGCAUCUUUAUGACGUCAUUUACCAGAUUGAGGGGAUCGCCUGUAUCCCUGCACUAUAAAUGUCUUAGUGUCAGAUCAUUAUUGUACUGGAUACACUAGAAAUAUUAUUUGUUCUGUAGGUACUUAAUCACUAUUCCCUAAUGACAACAGUGCUGAAAGACAAUUAUAAGUAUUCAAUGUGCUUCGUGCAAUAUAGCUUUAUAGUUUUCCAACCACUUGCACAAUAUUGGAGCGGAAGUGAUGACGGCCCUAAUUGCACAAAUGAUGUUAACUAAAAAAAAAAGGUUUUUGACGGAAAUGCAUCGAACUCGAAAGUUGUCUAUUAUCAAUUAAUUUAUUUUUAUUUUAUCUUUUUUUUUCCAGAGUAAAUAAAAUUAGUUUUUAAUCAGUUGUCGUCAUUAAUGCAGGACAUAUGUUGAGGAAGGUUUUACAAAGGAUAACACAAGUGAUAAAAUCUGUUAAAAUGACUGAUAUUUCACCUAGUAGUGCAGCUGUUCAGCAGGUAAUUCAUAUACAUUUUGUAAUUUGGAAAUUAUGAUUUUAUGGCAUAAAAACUGUUACAAUUAUGACAAUUAUUGUUUGCAAUCAUAAUUUAUACAUAAAUGCCACUUUGAAUUAUAUCAAUAUGCAUGCACAGGAAAUACAAGCAUGACAAGAGAAGAGAUUGCAUGAUUGACUGUGAACAUUGGAAAUGCUGGUGUACUGGUAAAACCGUAUUUGAAAAUGACAGUUCAAAAACAUGAUCCAAUUGUUUUUUUAUUCAAACUUUUUUAAUACAAAGGAGGUUCAACAUAUCUUUAUGUGAACAGUUUUAUCAUGUUUAUUGCAUUGAAUGCAUUAUAAAUACAUUUUUGUUCCAAAGUCUGAAUUCAUAGGACUCAAGGGUUGUUUACAUGCUAUAUAUAUGAAGCAGGUCACCUGGUCACUUUUGAAUUAAUUUUAUGUUAGAUUUUUUAGUAUGGUAAAACAUUUUUAAAGGUCACAGGGCACAUAUUGUUUUAAAUGCGAUGUCAGGUCCCAACGUCCUCCUCCUAACCAACGUCCUCCUCAAAAGGUUGCUGGUUGGAUUUGGCCAUGUUGGAGCCAUAUUCAUACUACAUGUAGUUGUUUGUAUGUACAACAUGUACAAAUAAUACUGAAUACAUUUCUCAUAUUUAAGCAAAUAUAUAUGUAACACUUUUAUUUAUAAAUAUGUUUAUCUGAUUGUUUUUAUUUCAUAUAGGAUGACAAAGGAAACAAGAGACCCUUAGAUGGGGAACUUUCUGACCAGCAUAAAAAACAGAAGGUAAAUAGUUUGUUUAUUUGUGAGCAAAAAGAUACCAAAGAGAUAUGUCACCUCAUAUGAUGAAAAACAAACUGAUGUGCCACAUGGACAGAUGCCAUCGCAAAAAAAAACCCUAAAAUAAUAAAAAGACA